CUCAAGCCCUUUACCAGACUCUAUACGUCGCCAGCUUCAUCGACAACUACCGACAGGAGCUCACUAGAUACCCUGCUUUGACUACAGGUACACAACAAGUACAACCAAUAUACAAUAUUACUAGGAUUCAUGCUUGAGGAAAUACUUUUUGAACACAUAUCUUUGGCUAUAGCAAGUGCAUAGCAAUAUACAACACUGUUCCUCCACCAAUAGUUCUGAUUCUAUCUGGCCACAGCUAUAAUGACUGGUUUCUUAGUUUUGAUUGAUGCUUGUGCUAUCCAUUUAGCAUUAUAUUACAAAAUAAUGCUAAAUUUAGUUCCAUUAAUAUUUACAAAACACAUGCGCAAGCUAUUCUAUACAAAACAGAUUUACUCCAAUAUAUUCACUAAUAUUUCUUGCAUUUG
Molecule: long non-coding RNA, 404 nt
Organism: Cryptomeria japonica (Japanese cedar)
Lineage: Eukaryota; Viridiplantae; Streptophyta; Pinopsida; Cupressales; Cupressaceae
Exons: 3
Source: RefSeq, a predicted model, not a curated record